RNAcentral lists this transfer RNA (74 nucleotides) under Bacteroidales bacterium. RNAcentral's name for it is "tRNA-Ala". It matches the Rfam family "tRNA". From Rfam's summary of the family: Transfer RNA (tRNA) molecules are approximately 80 nucleotides in length. Lineage: Bacteria; Pseudomonadati; Bacteroidota; Bacteroidia; Bacteroidales. The record is from RNAcentral.
GGGGGUAUAGCUCAGUUGGCUAGAGCACCUGCUUUGCAAGCAGGGGAUCGUCGGUUCGACUCCGACUAUCUCCA